GAGUUUGAUCCUGGCUCAGGACGAACGCUGGCGGCGUGCUUAACACAUGCAAGUCGAGCGAUGAAGCUCCUUCGGGAGUGGAUUAGCGGCGGACGGGUGAGUAACACGUGGGUAACCUGCCUCAUAGAGGGGAAUAGCCUUUCGAAAGGAAGAUUAAUACCGCAUAAGAUUGUAGUACCGCAUGGUACAGCAAUUAAAGGAGUAAUCCGCUAUGAGAUGGACCCGCGUCGCAUUAGCUAGUUGGUGAGGUAACGGCUCACCAAGGCGACGAUGCGUAGCCGACCUGAGAGGGUGAUCGGCCACAUUGGGACUGAGACACGGCCCAGACUCCUACGGGAGGCAGCAGUGGGGAAUAUUGCACAAUGGGGGAAACCCUGAUGCAGCAACGCCGCGUGAGUGAUGACGGUCUUCGGAUUGUAAAGCUCUGUCUUUAGGGACGAUAAUGACGGUACCUAAGGAGGAAGCCACGGCUAACUAC
RNAcentral lists this ribosomal RNA (478 nucleotides) under uncultured bacterium. Its description in RNAcentral is "bacterial SSU rRNA". It matches the Rfam family "Bacterial small subunit ribosomal RNA", at positions 9 to 504 of the family's 1533-position model. The record is from RNAcentral.